AUGCAUCCCCACGAAACUCCUCACCAUUACAAUCACUUAGCAAAUCUAGCUAUCUCAUCAUCUCUGCCUGAGCUCACUACCACUACUAUUGCUAGCUUGAUCGAGAUGGCCCGUUCUGCUCUUGCUCAGGUCGUGCUCGUCGCCGUGGUGGCUGCUAUGCUCCUCGCAGUCACGGAGGCGGCUGUAUCGUGCGGUCAGGUGAGCUCUGCCUUGAGCCCCUGCAUCUCCUAUGCACGCGGCAACGGCGCCAGCCCAUCUGCGGCCUGCUGCAGCGGCGUUAGGAGUCUAGCCAGCUCAGCCCGGAGCACCGCUGACAAGCAAGCGGCGUGCAAGUGCAUCAAGAGCGCUGCUGCUGGGCUCAACGCUGGCAAGGCCGCCGGCAUCCCCACAAAGUGCGGCGUUAGCGUCCCUUACGCCAUCAGCUCUUCGGUCGACUGCUCUAAGAUUCGCUGA
Molecule: ribosomal RNA, 453 nt
Filed under: Triticum aestivum (bread wheat)
Lineage: Eukaryota; Viridiplantae; Streptophyta; Magnoliopsida; Poales; Poaceae
Description: partial small subunit ribosomal RNA
Source: RNAcentral